AACGAACGUUAGCGGCGCGCCUAACACAUGCAAGUCGAGCGAGAAAGGGCUUCGGCCCCGGUAAAGCGGCGCACGGGUGAGUAACACGUGGAUAACCUACCCCUUGGUGGUGGAUAACCUUCCGAAAGGAGGGCUAAUACAGCGUAAGACCACGACUUCGAAAGAGGUUGAGGUAAAAGUGGGCCUCUGUACACAAGCUCACGCCAGGGGAUGGGUCCGCGGCCCAUCAGCUAGUUGGUAGGGUAACGGCCUACCAAGGCGAAGACGGGUAGCUGGUCUGAGAGGAUGAUCAGCCACACUGGAACUGAGACACGGUCCAGACUCCUACGGGAGGCAGCAGUGGGAAUCUUGCGCAAUGGACGAAAGUCUGAAGGAGCGACGCCGCGUGGGGGAUGAAUGGCUUCGGCCCGUAAACCCCUGUCAUUUGCGAACAAACCUUACCGGUUAACAACCGGUGAGCUGAUUGUAGCGAAAGAGGAAGGGACGGCUAACUCUGUGCCAGCAGCCGCGGUAAU
Molecule: ribosomal RNA, 515 nt
Filed under: uncultured bacterium
Lineage: Bacteria
Description: bacterial SSU rRNA
Rfam family: Bacterial small subunit ribosomal RNA
Source: RNAcentral